This 87-nucleotide transfer RNA is filed under the name Gammaproteobacteria bacterium. RNAcentral's name for it is "tRNA-Leu". It matches the Rfam family "tRNA". From Rfam's summary of the family: Transfer RNA (tRNA) molecules are approximately 80 nucleotides in length. Their secondary structure includes four short double-helical elements and three loops (D, anti-codon, and T loops). Further hydrogen bonds mediate the characteristic L-shaped molecular structure. tRNAs have two regions of fundamental functional importance: the anti-codon, which is responsible for specific mRNA codon recognition, and the 3' end, to which the tRNAs corresponding amino acid is attached (by aminoacyl-tRNA synthetases). tRNAs cope with the degeneracy of the genetic code in two manners: having more than one tRNA (with a specific anti-codon) for a particular amino acid; and 'wobble' base-pairing, i.e. permitting non-standard base-pairing at the 3rd anti-codon position. The record is from RNAcentral. RNAcentral also lists the same sequence under 1 other name. Lineage: Bacteria; Pseudomonadati; Pseudomonadota; Gammaproteobacteria.
GCCCAGGUGGUGAAAUUGGUAGACACAAGGGACUUAAAAUCCCUCGGAGGCGACUCCGUGCCGGUUCAAGUCCGGCCCUGGGCACCA